Molecule: long non-coding RNA, 2647 nt
Organism: Piliocolobus tephrosceles (Ugandan red Colobus)
Lineage: Eukaryota; Metazoa; Chordata; Mammalia; Primates; Cercopithecidae
Exons: 3
Source: RefSeq, a predicted model, not a curated record
AGUGCUGCCAGAACGUGGUGCAAGAGUUCUGAGGGUCUGCAAUCCAGAAGACAUUGAAUGGUCGGUGGAGGGCCUCAUGGCCUGUUUCCCAUCCCCUUUCAUUGGCUUUACUCCAGGUGGUGAAGGGGGAUAAUGUCUCUGUCAAUUCUGCCAUUUUGGCUUAGCAGGAAAAGAGAGCCCAGAAGCAGGGCCUGGUACCCAGCCUGCCUAACAAGGGAGAAUUUGUAGGCUUUGUAGACAGAAAGAUCUGGGAGUCCAUAUCAACCAAUAACUUGCUGAGACAAUAAAAUCAGUUUUCCUUUCUGAACUACAUUUCUGUCAUCUGUAAAUUGAGCGGAUUUUUUUCUACUGCACAAGGCUGCUUGGAGAAUUACUGACAGUGUGUGUACAGCAGGUGCCACCCAGCAGGCAUUUGAUGUCCAGACCACUCCUCUUCCCCGUGGAUUUUCUGCCUAAAUUUGCAUUUUGUUCUUAAGACUUUCACUCCCCUUAAUUUUGCUCUUCCCUCUGAUUCCCACCUUGUUGUCUAUCCCAUGGAGUCAACAGGAUCAAAGUGGGUAACAGUCAUGUACGCUUGUAUGUGUAUGUACAGACACACCUUGUUGGGGUUGGAGUGUGGGGUGUGUGUGUGUGUGUGUGUGUGUGUGUGUGUGUGUGUUGGAGUCACUGACUGAAACUCUCCAUACUAGGCUGCGUUGCUGCUCAUUGCUGGAGGUGCUGUCAGGGUCCCUGCCCUCAACCCCAGGUCUGACCCUUGCAGUAGAGGCAGAGCUUUCAGGAGGAAUCAUGCCCUUGGAAGGAUCCCUGAGGAGUGACUGGUGGGUAUUGGUGGAUAAAUACCCCAACUCCCUUGCUGUGGGUAGGAUGACUCUGAGACACAUGUUCUGUGCUGUCUCUCAGAGGUACCUGACAGGGCUGAGUCCUGGCUGCCACCAUGGAAACGUUCUUGAUGAAGCUCCCUUUAACUGCUGCAUUCCUUUCCUGUCUCAGUUCCCCACUCCUCUACUAGUGUUUCCUGGGAUUACCACCCUAAGGAAGAACUUGCAGUAGAAUUACUGUCCUAGAGUCAUCUCCAAAUACAAUUUUUGUAUUUGAAUCUUUGCCUCAGGAUCUACUUCCGGGAAACUCAAACUAAGACACGCAUUUUUCUGUUGGCUCCUUCAAUCCCCAUAGGCCUGCCAUUGUGCUGUUUUUAUCAAAAAGGAACACGAGGAUCAGAGAGGGAAAGUCACCCAGCUGAACAGUGGUGGAGUUCAACUUUGACCAUGGGAUGUCUGACCCCAAGUUGGGUGCUUGCUUCUCUCUGAUGAGACUCCUCCCUUAUCAGGGUCAAAUGAGUGAAUGGAGGAUUUUAAAAGCAGGGUCUCUGAGGCCUGUGCCAGAGAAACCCCAGGCUCAUGGCUCGUGUCUGUGCAUUCACUCGUAACCUCGUUAAGAGUAAUAAUGAAAAACAUGCUCAGGGCUGACCAUUUUCUUGGGGCUGUUGUUGUAGGCACUCUGCUUACUUUAAUUCAUGUAAUUUUCACAAUAACCUUGUUUUUAAUUCUAGUUGUUAGAUGAAAAAACUGUGGCACAGAGCAAUACAGAGAGUUGCAAAAAUUCAUAUCACUGGUCCAGGUUGAACCAAGCAGUCUGCACCUGGAGUCCUUGUUUGUAACCAUGGCACCCUGGCUUCUCAGAUGUCUCAUAGUGGAGUUCCACCAUGUGUCAGGCAUGGCACUGAGCAGCUUCUUUUAAGAACAUAAUUUGUAAUUAUGUAGAUUACUAAUUCUACUUCAAAAUGCCACACAGCCUUCCUGUGAUAAAAUGAAACUAUUGCUCAUCUGAUCUCCUAGGAUCUCUUCUAAGAUACUGGCAGCCUGGUCUGCCCCUGGACGUUCCUUCAAGUCCCGGUUAUGCUUCAUGAACUGUAUUGUGGUGAGUGCCAUUUUUCAGACCCUGGUCAGAGUGCAAUGUUCCGUGGGAACUCAGGCCAUGAGAAACAUCCUUCCUAACCUCCUGACUGCAGAAACAUCCUUAUCACAUCCUGCCAGGCCAAAGCCCAACAGCCUGACUGCAGGUACCUCCUUGCCACAUCCUGCUGGGCAGCAAGCUCUACCUCCCAGAGCCCUCCCUUCCAGUCCCGUGAUUACCCAGCCUGUGAGCAGCAGUUGGCACUGGCACUAAGCUGGAUUCCUCCUCCGCAGGAUUUUGCUCACUGUAAGGAUGUUGCUGUUGAAGCUGCCAACUGUCUCUGUCUUUCUUUAACCCUCGCUUUGCCUUCAAAACCUAACAAUAAUUCUACCUCUCUAUUUUACCAAGGAGGAUAUGGGACUCAAGGAGAGCAAGAGACUUACCCAGAAUUACACAGCCAGUGGGUCAUAGAGCCUGAACUUGAACUCAGUUCAGCUGAAUCCAGAACUUGUUUCUCCCUGAGAUUCCAGGGAAGGAAAAGUGGAACUGCAGCCAGAGGGUGCCCACGUGCUUGUCCUUGGAGACCCCAGGCGGGCUCCUUGGAAUUGUGUCUUCAUGGGCCCAACAGAAGAUCUCAGCUGUGUUGCAUCAGCUAAGUGUCCCCAUUGUCCCAAAUUGUUAUUUCGUUUCAAAGUUUUGUUUUAAUAAUUAAAUUUCUCACAGCUCAGUGUUGAAAACAAAACACAGAGGCAUG